RNAcentral lists this ribosomal RNA (447 nucleotides) under uncultured bacterium. RNAcentral describes it as "partial 16S ribosomal RNA". It matches the Rfam family "Bacterial small subunit ribosomal RNA", at positions 338 to 795 of the family's 1533-position model. The record is from RNAcentral.
CCUACGGGUGGCAGCAGUGGGGAAUCUUGCGCAAUGGGCGGAAGCCUGACGCAGCGACGCCGCGUGCGGGACGAAGGCCUUCGGGUCGUAAACCGCUUUCAGCAGGGACGAGGCCCUCACGGUGACGGUACCUGCAGAAGAAGCCCCGGCAAACUGCGUGCCAGCAGCCCCGGUAAUCCGUGGGGGGCAAUCGUUAUCCGGGUUCAUUGGGCGUAAGGCGCGCGUAGGCGGCCUGUUAGGUCGGGGGUAAAAUACCGGGGCUCAACCCCGGUCCGCCCCCGAUAUCGGCAGGCUUGAGUCUGGUAGAGGAAGGCGGAAUUCCGAGUGUAGCGGUGGAAUGCGCAGAUAUUGGGAAGAACACCGGCGGCGAAGGCGGCCUUCUGGGCCACGACUGACGCUGAGGCGCGAAAGCUAGGGGAGCGAACAGGAUUAGAUACCCGAGUAGUC